This is a long non-coding RNA of Dermochelys coriacea (leatherback sea turtle), 948 nucleotides long. RefSeq lists it as uncharacterized. The transcript is spliced from 3 exons. NCBI's taxonomy places the organism in Eukaryota, Metazoa, Chordata, Testudines, Dermochelyidae. The record is from RefSeq and is a predicted model, not a curated record.
CAAACAGCUAGGAAUUUCUGUCCCCUGGGUGGGUGAGAACAAUCCUUGAAGAAGCACUUGAUCUACUAGGGUUCUAUAAGACUGAUGAGUGAUCUAUGACUCAUAUGGCCUUGUUGUAUGCCACCAAAGUAUAUCUAGCUGUUAGAAAGACGAGGAAUAGAGGGCAUGGCCUUUUGAAAUGGAAGAUUGAAGCACUCGGAGCUUUGAUGCAGUACUUAAAGAAUAAUGUACAAAACAUCACCAAUAUGAAGUUAAAUGCAGUAGUUCCAAUCAAUGGGAAACUUAAACCAAUGCGGAUUUUGACAGAGUAAGGAGUGAAAGAAGAGGCUGUUGUGAAGAGCAAUCGACAAUAUUAGGUUUCAUCUUAAAAACUCGGGGGAAAAUGAUUGUGAAGUACCUUCAAAGAAUCAUCUUAUUCUUGAAUAUGUGAAAGUUGAAAUUAUUUUGGUCUUAUAGCAAAAUAGCAAUGAUAUAUUGCAUAUUACAUAAACCACUGAAUUAGUAAACUCCUGCUGAACCAUCGUUUUAUUUUUGUAUUCCAUAGUAUGCCAUCCUAUUGGGAUAACCAAAACAACCUCAAGCCAAGACUAUAUUUUCAUACAAUUAAUUAGCCUCAUAAUUCUUAAUAUUGCUAACUUUCUACAUUUAGUUUUUUUAAACUCAGUUAUGGAAAACCAGUUGACUUGUUUGAAUUAAGUUGUAAAUAUUGUUGGCUUAGAGAGAGAAUGGCUUAAGUAUGAAGAUUAUUGGGCAUAACAAAGGUUGUACAACACAUCUUUAACAUUCUGUCAAGCCUAUGCAACAUGUAGAAGUGCUAAUCAAGUAGAACACUCUGAACCUUGGGGUCAAUAAAAAUCCACAAUACUGUGUUUGUUAGCCAUUUGUAUAUCCAAAUUACUAAUUAAAGAGGAAUCUGGUGACUUCACCACACCUCCUGCUGACUCCUCA